UGACACUGGUGGUGCUGAUCGCCCC
Molecule: microRNA, 25 nt
Filed under: Oreochromis niloticus (Nile tilapia)
Lineage: Eukaryota; Metazoa; Chordata; Actinopteri; Cichliformes; Cichlidae
Description: oni-miR-10902
Source: miRBase by way of RNAcentral